AGCAGCCGCGGUAAUUCCAGCUCCAAUAGCGUAUAUUAAAGUUGUUGCAGUUAAAAAGCUCGUAGUUGAACUUCAGGCCUGGCUGGACGGUCCGCCCUCUGGGUGAGUACUGUCUGUGGUCGGGUCCUACCUUCUGGCGAAGCGUCAUGGUCUUCAUCGGCCGUGGCGGGGAACCAGGACUUUUACUGUGAAAAAAUUAGAGUGUUCAAAGCAGGCAAUCGCUUGGAUACAUUAGCAUGGAAUAAUGGAAUAGGACAAUGGUUCUAUUUGUUGGUUUCUAGGACCGUUGUAAUGAUUAAUAGGGAUAGUUGGGGGCAUUAGUAUUCAAUUGUCAGAGGUGAAAUUCUUGGAUUUAUUGAAGACUAACUACUGCGAAAGCAUUUGCCAAGGAUGUUUUCAUUAAUCAAGACAAAAGUUAGGGGAUCGAAGACGAUCAGAUACCGUCGUAGUCUUAACCAUAAACUAUGCCGACUAGGGAUCGGAUGAUGUUAAUUUUUUAAUGACUCAUUCGGCGUCCG
This 518-nucleotide ribosomal RNA is filed under the name uncultured Paraglomus. RNAcentral describes it as "SSU rRNA". It matches the Rfam family "Eukaryotic small subunit ribosomal RNA", at positions 569 to 1089 of the family's 1831-position model. The record is from RNAcentral. Lineage: Eukaryota; Fungi; Glomeromycota; Glomeromycetes; Paraglomerales; Paraglomeraceae.